RNAcentral lists this ribosomal RNA (250 nucleotides) under uncultured bacterium. RNAcentral's name for it is "partial 16S ribosomal RNA". It matches the Rfam family "Bacterial small subunit ribosomal RNA", at positions 86 to 339 of the family's 1533-position model. The record is from RNAcentral.
UUAUGAUUAGUGGCGCACGGGUGAGUAAUAUAUAGGUAAUGUACCUCUUAGUCUGGGAUAGCCACUGGAAACGGUGAUUAAUACCGGAUACUCCUUUUCAUUUCAAGAUGAAUCGGGAAAGUUUUUCGCUAAGAGAUCGGCCUAUAUCCUAUCAGCUAGUUGGUGAGGUAAUGGCUCACCAAGGCAAUGACAGGUAGCUGGACUGAGAGGUUGACCAGCCUCGAUGGGACUGAGACACGGCCCAUACUCC